CGUGUAGGCGGUCGGUCAAGUCUGGUGUGAAAGCCCGGGGCUCAGCUCCGGAAGUGCGCUGGAAACUAGCCGACUGGAGCGCGAUAGAGGAGGGUGGAAUUCCUGGUGUAGCGGUGAAAUGCGUAGAUAUCAGGAGGAACACCGGCGGCGAAGGCGGCCCUCUGGAUCGUUGCUGACGCUGAGACGCGAAAGCGUGGGGAGCAAACAGGAUUAGAUACCCUGGUAGUCCACGCUGUAAACUAUGGGUACUAGGUGUUCGGGGUGUUGACCCCCUGAGUGCCGACGCUAACGCAUUAAGUACCCCGCCUGGGGACUACGGCCGCAAGGCUAAA
Molecule: ribosomal RNA, 332 nt
Filed under: uncultured bacterium
Lineage: Bacteria
Description: bacterial SSU rRNA
Rfam family: Bacterial small subunit ribosomal RNA
Source: RNAcentral